UAAGCGACUAAGCGUACACGGUGGAUGCCCUGGCAGUCAGAGGCGAUGAAGGACGUGCUAAUCUGCGAUAAGCGUCGGUAAGGUGAUAUGAACCGUUAUAACCGGCGAUUUCCGAAUGGGGAAACCCAGUGUGAUUCGUCACACUAUCAUUAACUGAAUCCAUAGGUUAAUGAGGCGAACCGGGGGAACUGAAACAUCUAAGUACCCCGAGGAAAAGAAAUCAACCGAGAUUCCCCCAGUAGCGGCGAGCGAACGGGGAGCAGCCCAGAGCCUGAAUCAGUGUGUGUGUUAGUGGAAGCGUCUGGAAAGGCGCGCGAUACAGGGUGACAGCCCCGUACACAAAAAUGCACAUACUGUGAGCUCGAUGAGUAGGGCGGGACACGUGGUAUCCUGUCUGAAUAUGGGGGGACCAUCCUCCAAGGCUAAAUACUCCUGACUGACCGAUAGUGAACCAGUACCGUGAGGGAAAGGCGAAAAGAACCCCGGCGAGGGGAGUGAAAAAGAACCUGAAACCGUGUACGUACAAGCAGUGGGAGCCUCUUUAUGGGGUGACUGCGUACCUUUUGUAUAAUGGGUCAGCGACUUAUAUUCUGUAGCAAGGUUAACCGAAUAGGGGAGCCGAAGGGAAACCGAGUCUUAACUGGGCGUUAAGUUGCAGGGUAUAGACCCGAAACCCGGUGAUCUAGCCAUGGGCAGGUUGAAGGUUGGGUAACACUAACUGGAGGACCGAACCGACUAAUGUUGAAAAAUUAGCGGAUGACUUGUGGCUGGGGGUGAAAGGCCAAUCAAACCGGGAGAUAGCUGGUUCUCCCCGAAAGCUAUUUAGGUAGCGCCUCGUGAAUUCAUCUCCGGGGGUAGAGCACUGUUUCGGCAAGGGGGUCAUCCCGACUUACCAACCCGAUGCAAACUGCGAAUACCGGAGAAUGUUAUCACGGGAGACACACGGCGGGUGCUAACGUCCGUCGUGAAGAGGGAAACAACCCAGACCGCCAGCUAAGGUCCCAAAGUCAUGGUUAAGUGGGAAACGAUGUGGGAAGGCCCAGACAGCCAGGAUGUUGGCUUAGAAGCAGCCAUCAUUUAAAGAAAGCGUAAUAGCUCACUGGUCGAGUCGGCCUGCGCGGAAGAUGUAACGGGGCUAAACCAUGCACCGAAGCUGCGGCAGCGACACUAUGUGUUGUUGGGUAGGGGAGCGUUCUGUAAGCCUGUGAAGGUGUACUGUGAGGUAUGCUGGAGGUAUCAGAAGUGCGAAUGCUGACAUAAGUAACGAUAAAGCGGGUGAAAAGCCCGCUCGCCGGAAGACCAAGGGUUCCUGUCCAACGUUAAUCGGGGCAGGGUGAGUCGACCCCUAAGGCGAGGCCGAAAGGCGUAGUCGAUGGGAAACAGGUUAAUAUUCCUGUACUUGGUGUUACUGCGAAGGGGGGACGGAGAAGGCUAUGUUGGCCGGGCGACGGUUGUCCCGGUUUAAGCGUGUAGGCUGGUUUUCCAGGCAAAUCCGGAAAAUCAAGGCUGAGGCGUGAUGACGAGGCACUACGGUGCUGAAGCAACAAAUGCCCUGCUUCCAGGAAAAGCCUCUAAGCAUCAGGUAACAUCAAAUCGUACCCCAAACCGACACAGGUGGUCAGGUAGAGAAUACCAAGGCGCUUGAGAGAACUCGGGUGAAGGAACUAGGCAAAAUGGUGCCGUAACUUCGGGAGAAGGCACGCUGAUAUGUAGGUGAAGUCCCUCGCGGAUGGAGCUGAAAUCAGUCGAAGAUACCAGCUGGCUGCAACUGUUUAUUAAAAACACAGCACUGUGCAAACACGAAAGUGGACGUAUACGGUGUGACGCCUGCCCGGUGCCGGAAGGUUAAUUGAUGGGGUCAGCGCAAGCGAAGCUCUUGAUCGAAGCCCCGGUAAACGGCGGCCGUAACUAUAACGGUCCUAAGGUAGCGAAAUUCCUUGUCGGGUAAGUUCCGACCUGCACGAAUGGCGUAAUGAUGGCCAGGCUGUCUCCACCCGAGACUCAGUGAAAUUGAACUCGCUGUGAAGAUGCAGUGUACCCGCGGCAAGACGGAAAGACCCCGUGAACCUUUACUAUAGCUUGACACUGAACAUUGAGCCUUGAUGUGUAGGAUAGGUGGGAGGCUUUGAAGUGUGGACGCCAGUCUGCAUGGAGCCGACCUUGAAAUACCACCCUUUAAUGUUUGAUGUUCUAACGUUGGCCCCUGAUCGGGGUUGCGGACAGUGUCUGGUGGGUAGUUUGACUGGGGCGGUCUCCUCCUAAAGAGUAACGGAGGAGCACGAAGGUUGGCUAAUCCUGGUCGGACAUCAGGAGGUUAGUGCAAUGGCAUAAGCCAGCUUGACUGCGAGCGUGACGGCGCGAGCAGGUGCGAAAGCAGGUCAUAGUGAUCCGGUGGUUCUGAAUGGAAGGGCCAUCGCUCAACGGAUAAAAGGUACUCCGGGGAUAACAGGCUGAUACCGCCCAAGAGUUCAUAUCGACGGCGGUGUUUGGCACCUCGAUGUCGGCUCAUCACAUCCUGGGGCUGAAGUAGGUCCCAAGGGUAUGGCUGUUCGCCAUUUAAAGUGGUACGCGAGCUGGGUUUAGAACGUCGUGAGACAGUUCGGUCCCUAUCUGCCGUGGGCGCUGGAGAACUGAGGGGGGCUGCUCCUAGUACGAGAGGACCGGAGUGGACGCAUCACUGGUGUUCGGGUUGUCAUGCCAAUGGCACUGCCCGGUAGCUAAAUGCGGAAGAGAUAAGUGCUGAAAGCAUCUAAGCACGAAACUUGCCCCGAGAUGAGUUCUCCCUGACUCCUUGAGAGUCCUGAAGGAACGUUGAAGACGACGACGUUGAUAGGCCGGGUGUGUAAGCGCAGCGAUGCGUUGAGCUAACCGGUACUAAUGAACCGUGAGGCUUAACCU
This 2898-nucleotide ribosomal RNA is filed under the name Escherichia coli. RNAcentral's name for it is "bacterial LSU rRNA". It matches the Rfam family "Bacterial large subunit ribosomal RNA". The record is from RNAcentral. Lineage: Bacteria; Pseudomonadati; Pseudomonadota; Gammaproteobacteria; Enterobacterales; Enterobacteriaceae.